GAAAUGCGAUAAGUAAUGUGAAUUGCAGAAUUCAGUGAAUCAUCGAAUCUUUGAACGCACCUUGCGCUCCUUGGUAUUCCUUGGAGCAUGCCUGUUUGAGUAUCAUGAAAUCUUCAAAGUAAAUCUUUUGUUAACUCAAUUGGUUUCUACUUUGGUAUUGGAGGUCUUUGCAGCUUCACACCUGCUCCUCUUUGUUCAUUAGCUGGAUCUCAGUGUUAUGCUUGGUACCACUCGGCGUGAUAAGUUAUCUAUCGCUGAGGACACUGUAAAAGGUGGCCAAGGUAAAUGCAGAUGAACCGCUUCUAAUAGUCCAUUGACUUGGACAAUACUUUUAUGAUCUGAUCUCAAAUCAGGUAGGACUACCCGCUGAACUUAAGC
This 378-nucleotide unclassified non-coding RNA is filed under the name plant metagenome. RNAcentral describes it as "partial contains 5.8S ribosomal RNA, internal transcribed spacer 2, and large subunit ribosomal RNA". The stretch from base 1 to 105 matches the Rfam family "5.8S ribosomal RNA", at positions 50 to 154 of the family's 154-position model. The record is from RNAcentral.